Molecule: small nucleolar RNA, 107 nt
Filed under: Theobroma cacao (cacao)
Lineage: Eukaryota; Viridiplantae; Streptophyta; Magnoliopsida; Malvales; Malvaceae
Description: Plant small nucleolar RNA R71
Rfam family: Plant small nucleolar RNA R71
About the family: R71 is a member of the C/D box family of snoRNAs containing the C (UGAUGA) and D (CUGA) box motifs.
Source: Rfam by way of RNAcentral
AGACCAUGAUGAGAACAACGAUGAAGUAAUUCUUUGUAUCAUUCCCAAGCUUUGUACAACGAUUCAGAAUCUUGCUACAUGAAUGAUGUAAUAUCAUUUCUCAUUUU